Papaver somniferum (opium poppy) is the source of this 5223-nucleotide long non-coding RNA. RefSeq lists it as uncharacterized. The record is from RefSeq and is a predicted model, not a curated record. The transcript has 8 exons. Lineage: Eukaryota; Viridiplantae; Streptophyta; Magnoliopsida; Ranunculales; Papaveraceae.
CUAUAAUCCUCUCUCUUCUCUCAUCUUAUCUAUCUGUAUGUGCAGUACUCCUUCGGCAACCUUCCGUUUCUUCUCUCUCACAACUUAAUCGCUCUCUAUGUUUCAGUCGAUUUUUUUCCUCAAUCAUAACAAUAAGUCAAUUGUGAAUCAGUAUAUGGUUUUUCUUCCUCUUAUUCUUCAAAUAGAUCUAUCAAAUUCUUACACCUAUAGUUUUGAGAUUCCUUAAACCGAAUCAGUAUGAAGAAAUCUAAGAUUCUGGAGAGAUUUCUCUAUUUCACGAGAGUUCUGAGAUUCCUUAAACCGAAUCAGUAUGAAGAAAUCUAAGAUUCUGGAGAGGUUUCUCUACUUCACGAGGUUGGUUUGUAUUCAAAAGGGUUUUGAAUGAACGUCUUCAACAACUUCUAAGCGAGAACCACCUGUGAGUGACGAUUCUGUUGCUUGCAUCAGUGGAUGUAAGCAUAUGGCAGAGGUAGUGAAUUGAGAUCUUGGACUAAGUUCAGAGCUAAAGGUUAGAACAUAAGGGUUUGUGGAUAUAAACCAAGAAGGAAGCACAAGAGGAGGGAAUUACUUGCACCUGGUUAAUCUAGUUCCGUGGAAAGUAUUUUGGAAUACCCCAUUAUGACAUUUAAUGUUGUUGACUUUGGAAUUUGGGAAGGUUCAAUAAUAGUAGUGGCCGACGAAACUGGUGAUUUGCUAUACUUGGGAAGGUUUUCUCAUAGUCACAUCUUAUUUUUAGAUUAUCGUUGUGCGUAACUACUUGAUAUAAAUUUCAAAAAAUAUUUUCAUGUCUUUUCUUGUCAAAUUCUUGAUACAGGGGUUGAUCAAUGUUCCCUGUGUGUUAAUAGAGAAAGUUUUGCUUUAAUCUCUAAUAGCCCAACCUAGAAAAUCUGGAACAACUUUGAGUUUUGAUUUUGAUAUCAUCAGUCUAACAGUCUUGGUCAGAUUUAUGUUUAGAAACUGUAGAAUAUUACAGGACUGUUGUUAUGGAUUCCUUCUAUAUAGGUUUCAAUUAAUGAUGACAAACAUUGUAGCUAAGAAGUGGCAUCCGUUAAAUUUGGUGUAUACAUAUUUUCAUCCAUCAAUUCCUAGUCCAGUCACAUGUAAAUAGUAGAUUUUUACUGAAAUCUGUUAGAGAAAUAUUAACACUUCUCAGCUUUGCCCAUUACUGUGCCAAUAACUUGUUAAUGGAACUGCAUCAUGCAGUUCAGAUUACGAAGUUUUCAAAAAUUUUAGGAGGAGAGAUCAACUAUGGCUUACUAGCGUUGUGUGUCUCUUGGGUCUGAUGUGUUAGAGCAUUGUAAUAAGAGAAAACUGACUGUAUAUCUUUGAGGAAGUGUACUGCAGAUAGUGCAAUUAGGUUCUAACUUCUAAGGUCAGGUGGUCUCAACCACUGUUUCUAGGGCAUCAGAGCGGAAUAAGAUAACUAUCGUAGUAUUAUCUGAAACUAUUUUGAUAUUAGUCUUGGUCAAAACUUAAGUUUACAACUAUCGAAAAUUUACUGACACACUGAUAUUGAUUACUGUAAUGUAGUUAUCAAGGUUGUUAGCGUUGACAACAAGUAAUGAUGAUGCAUACUCUAAUCCUCAACUAUAUUAUGACGUGGGCUUGAAAAUGUUGGAUCAGUAACCUAAAUUGUGAUUAACUUAUGGAUUUACGAGGCAGUGUCAGGGGAGGACAAUGGCCCCUGCAUUGUAGUUCAGUUCAAUUUUAAACUCAAUUCAUAGAAUGAAAUUGUGAGAUGAAUUAGCUUGUUGUAGCUCUGGGAUCAGGUUAUGAAAUGAAAAAAUCAUGUCACUGUGGGGGGGAAUUUCCCUUGGGGUUGUAGUUUAGUUUUUAGCCUACUUUCUAGCAUCAACUGUGAAUGUUGACGGUCAAUUAUUCUACUUUUGGAUUUAGCCACUCACGUCUGAAUUUAUGAACAACCAUGCCCUUUUCUAGCGAAGACGCAGUAUUGUAUCAUGUUUUCCUCAAGCCGUUUAUUACUUAACUUGAUUUCUUUUUUCUUUAUGUCAAUUGUCUGAAUUCCAUGUAUUGAACUGAUGCGCUACUUAAUGUUACCUUCUUAAGAGAUCUUUUAAAUGCUCUAUUGUGUUUGUAGGGGAAGAUGUUUCUCCUGGAUUAAGAAAAGGUGGAAUUAAACUUUGAUCAUGUAAAUGGUAAUGGAUGCAGCUAUGAACCUCUCUACGUGUGUCAACUGGCAAGUUUGCUGGAUAAUUAGGGUCUCAAUUGGUGAACUUAGGGAUAGAAUAAUGGACCUGAUUAGAGCUAGUUUUCAGAAGAUGAAGACAUGGAUGGUGAAGUCUCGCCUUCAUGUUUUGAAGACACGAUGUGAGGUCGUCGAUGGACUUUGUUCCGAUAGCAGGAAAGGGAGGUUUUUACCCGGCACAAGAACACUGUUAUCAAGAGCAGCUGACAACAAUUCUUUUGGAGCCACCGACUGACGAAGAAAUGGGCCUCCUUGGUCAAAACCCAUAUGCCGAGCAACCCUGACAAUAUUAUAAGGAACCACCUCAUAAGAUCCCAUGAAGAAAUAUGGCACGUGUCCAGGUGUACAGCUUCGCAUGAAUAUGAUUUCUCUAACGCUCAUAUUCUCUUCAGCAUAAAGCAAAGUAAUAUUUGGGGCAGCAGCGAAAAUGUUCGGCUGAACUAUGGACGCAUGAACCGGAGCCCAAUGACGAAAGUUAACCGCAUACGCAUUGUCGAGGAAGUCGAUGAGCUUCGACCCGGAUUUUGGACGCUUGUUCAACCAGCGGAGUAUCCUGGAACCGCCAUAGGAGUCAGGAAAUGAAGCCAGUGGCUUAGGAGCAUAAUUUUUGAAAUGCUCCCACAACCACGUUUGAAGAAAAGUGAUGUGGACAUACGAGUCUGCUUUCAUAUGAACAUUAGAAACAUACAUGUCCCCAGUCAAGUGAUCUAGAUGGGUGUACAAAGAUCCAAGAAACAAGCCGCCAAUGGGGAGGACAACACCUUUCGCUUAUUUGAUGGACAGUUUAAUGAGCUCCUGUCUUAUCUCCUUCUUGCCAAAGCCAUCAUCAAGAAUAUCUCUGGAUAACCACAGAGCCAAAAAUGCAGCGACAUGGAGUGUACCGUUCAUCUGAUCCGGCUCCGAGUCUUUCGAGAACCAUUCAGACGCCCAACAGCUGCAGAAGCACUUCGUUUCGUAAUCUUUUCGAACAAACCCUGCCGACUUGGCAACGAGAGUGGAACGCAUUUCCUGUUCCUCAUCAGACAAAGUAAUGUCAAGGUUCUCUAUUAUUGGUAGAUUCAACAGGAUGGCUACACUCUCUAAAGAAAUAGUCAUUUCACCCCACCUGCAUAUGGCCGUAUGAGUAUACGGACACCAUCUGGAGAUAAAAGUGACCAAGCCCACGAUGUCCUUCCUGAUUUGAAGUGUUGCAGAAGCCAUGACCGCAUUGAUGAUAUGCGCCCUGGUCAGACUGUCUCUUACGCAGUCUUGACUUAUCAUGAACCGCAUCCAUUUAUCAAAAGAACGCAAUGGACUCUAACAAGCUCUGAAGUCAAUAAGAGAAGCAUGAUACUCAUUUUUCUGAAGACAAAAUUGUAUCACGCGCCCUGGCCGAACUGAUGGGGCGUCUCCUUCAUUUUCUGAACCGCUCAGAAGGAUAGCCACAUAUUUUGGAUGGUUUCUCUUAACCGUGGCAGACUGUGUAAAGUAUUCGUCAUCCGUGUUGGGCUUGGAGUUGCUAACGUUUUUCGACAUAGCGGCAGGACUAUUCGCGGGUGACAUCCUAACAAAAUUUUCUUAUACUGCUUUCACUUUCAAAAUAACUACAACGGAGCAAAACGAAGAAAAGUUACUGCCAAAAAAAAGAGGUGCAUGAACACUACUUUAUCACCGGCGGAGGAUCUAUUUUGGUCACAAGCCAAUUUAUUUUGGUCGCAAGUCAUAACACACAUAGCCAAAAGAGUGGGGAAUGAUACUCGCUUCAACGAGCCAUGUUUUGCCGCGGGAAACGUGCCUCUAGCCAAUACCGUGUCUUGCAGCAUGAAGUAUGCUCUCGACCAAAGGGAGAGUGUGUCCCACCACGAAAAUUGUGCACACGGCCACAAAGGGAAAAGAAAACCCUAAAGCUAGGUUUUCAUGGGAGAAGAACUAACGGCGGCCACCUAUCCGUGCACACCUACUUUGCAUAAUAAUGGGCUUCCUUACUAUCAAUGUGACGGCUAAUAUUACAACUAUACUGCUAGCAGAGAAGAAUCAUUCAUACAAGAGUAUUUCUACGGGUUUAUGGAGGAUAUGCCUAUGGGUAGGGUUUACACCAACACAAAAGAACGAGCUAAAGAAGAAACGCUAGAAUACAUACUUGGAAUAUGCUCGCCUGCUUUAUUUCUACCGCUCUUCCACUAGCACCAAGACGUAGAAAUAAAACCAAUAAUACGAGGUAAAGAGGAGGGGUGACGCCUUUUAUAGGCAUGACACCUUUUGGAGUUCGAAUAGGGGAAGGUUUCUUAUUUUUGGGCCAUGCGUGGAAAGAGGCAACCAGACCCACGCCCGGCCAAGCCAAACCAACAACUUUGCAUCCCAAGCCGAGCCAACAGUUCCACGUCCCAAGCGUGCCAAGACAGCGCCACGUCCAAGCCAAGAUAGUGCACGACCAAGCCAAGCGCCAACGCCUCCAUGCCAAGCCAGCAGCGCCACGGACAAACCAAGCUAACGACGCCAUCUUAGCCGUUCAAAGCAGCGCCAUCUUCACGAAGCCAACGACGCCAUCUUAGCCGUUCAAAGCAGCGCCAUCUCCACCAACCCAAAGCCGGCGCCAACAGUCUGCGUCCCAAGCCAAUGCCAUCAGCCCGCGUCCCAACCAUCGAUCCGCUCCAUGACCAAUGCCAUCAUCCCGCUCCAUGGACAGCGCUAGCAGUCCACUACCUAGCCAGCAGUCCGCGUCCUAGCCAGCAGUCCGCGUCCUAGUCAGUAGUCCGCUCCAUAGCCAGCGCCAUCUACCUUUCUAAACCAGCCAGUGCCCAUUCCGUGGACCAGGUUGCAGUGCCACUUCUGCCGAUCAGCAAUCCAAAUCUGCAACGCUGAUGCCAACACCCCAUGGCCUAACUGAAUUUAUGCAAAGCCACCAAUCCAAGGGUCACAAAUUCCUCAGGCCUCCCGACAAAGGUUAGCCAAAUCUUCCUGACAAUCUCUUCAUGACUUGCCGUUUCGAUUUUAUCCUUGUCCGUCACCAUCUUAUGCUUACCCCGCAAUAAUGUCAU